GACGAACGCUGGCGGCGUGCUUAACACAUGCAAGUCGAACGGUGAAGGGACCGGUUUUUGCUGGUUCUGGAUGAGUGGCGAACGGGUGAGUAACACGUGAGUAACCUGCCCCCUUCUUCUGGAUAACCGCAUGAAAGUGUGGCUAAUACGGGAUAUUCUGCGCCUGCUGCAUGGUGGGUGUGGGAAAGAUAUUGUUUCGGUGGGGGAUGGGCUCGCGGCCUAUCAGCUUGUUGGUGGAGUGAUGGCCUACCAAGGCGGUGACGGGUAGCCGGCCUGAGAGGGUGGGCGGUCACGCGGGGGCGGAGAGACGGCCCAGACUCCGGCGGGAGGCAGCAGUGGGGAAUAGUGCACAAUGGGGGCAAGGCUGAUGCAGCGACGCCGCGUGAGGGAUGGAGGCCUUCGGGUUGUAAACCUCUUUCGCCAGUGAAGCAGGGCUGUCCCUUUUGUGGGUGGGUUGACGGUAGCUGGAUAAGAAGCGCCGGCUAACUACGUG
Molecule: ribosomal RNA, 493 nt
Filed under: uncultured bacterium
Lineage: Bacteria
Description: partial 16S ribosomal RNA
Rfam family: Bacterial small subunit ribosomal RNA
Source: RNAcentral